Molecule: ribosomal RNA, 487 nt
Filed under: uncultured bacterium
Lineage: Bacteria
Description: partial 16S ribosomal RNA
Rfam family: Bacterial small subunit ribosomal RNA
Source: RNAcentral
ACUCAAAGGAAUUGACGGGGACCCGCACAAGCGGUGGAGCACGUGGUUUAAUUCGACAGUAAGCGAGAAACCUUACCCAGACUUGACAUCUAGCGAAUCCUGCAGAGAUGCGGGAGUGCCUUCGGGAACGCUAAGACAGGUGUUGCAUGGUUGUCGUCAGCUCGUGCCGUGAGGUGUACGGUUAAGUCCGAUAACGAGCGCAACCCUUAUCCUGUGUUAAAUUAUUCACAGGAAACUGCCCGGGAUAACCGGGAGGAAGGUGGGGAUGACGUCAAAUCAGCAUGGCCCUUACGUCUGGGGCUACACACAUGCUACAAUGGGGAGUAACAAAGGGAUGCCAAACCGUAAGGUGGAGCAAAUCCCAUCAAACCUCCCCCCAGUUCGGAUUGAAGGCUGCAACUCGCCUUCAUGAAGCCGGAAUCGCUAGUAACCGUGUAUCAGCUAUGGCACGGUGAAUACGUUCUCGGGUCUUGUACACACCGCCCGU